GCGCACGGUGGAUGCCUUGGCACUAGGAGCCGAUGAAGGACGGGACUAACACCGAUAUGCUUUGGGGAGCUGUACGUAAGCUAUGAUCCAGAGAUUUCCGAAUGGGGGAACCCAACAUCUUUAAUAGGAUGUUACGAUUGUGUGAAUACAUAGCACAUUCGAGGUAGACGCAGAGAACUGAAACAUCUAAGUACCUGCAGGAAGAGAAAGAAAAUUCGAUUCCCUGAGUAGCGGCGAGCGAAACGGGAAAAGCCCAAACCAGCAAGCUUGCUUGUUGGGGUUGUAGGACUCCAAUAUGGUAGUUCUUUCAGAUAGUCGAAUGACUUGGAAAAGUCAGUCAAAGAGGGUAAAAACCCCGUAGACGAAAUGUGGAAGACACCUAGGAGGAUCCUGAGUACGGCGGAACACGAGAAAUUCCGUCGGAAUCCGGGAGGACCAUCUCCCAAGGCUAAAUACUCCCUAGUGACCGAUAGUGAACCAGUACCGUGAGGGAAAGGUGAAAAGCACCCCGGAAGGGGAGUGAAAUAGAACCUGAAACCGUGUGCCUACAACAAGUCAAAGCCCGUUAAUGGGUGAUGGCGUGCCUUUUGUAGAAUGAACCGGCGAGUUACGAUUGCAUGCGAGGUUAAGUUGAAGAGACGGAGCCGCAGCGAAAGCGAGUCUGAAUAGGGCGUUUGAGUAUGUAGUCGUAGACCCGAAACCAUGUGAUCUACCCAUGUCCAGGUUGAAGGUGCGGUAAAACGCACUGGAGGACCGAACCCACGUACGUUGAAAAGUGCGGGGAUGAGGUGUGGGUAGCGGAGAAAUUCCAAACGAACUUGGAGAUAGCUGGUUCUCUCCGAAAUAGCUUUAGGGCUAGCCUCGGAAUUGAGAAUGAUGGAGGUAGAGCACUGUUUGGACUAGGGGCCCAUCUCGGGUUACCGAAUUCAGAUAAACUCCGAAUGCCAUUCAUUCAUAUCCGGGAGUCAGACUGUGAGUGAUAAGAUCCAUAGUCGAAAGGGAAACAGCCCAGACCACCAGCUAAGGUCCCAAAAUAUAUGUUAAGUGGAAAAGGAUGUGGGGUUGCACAGACAACUAGGAUGUUGGCUUAGAAGCAGCCACCAUUUAAAGAGUGCGUAAUAGCUCACUAGUCGAGUGACCCUGCGCCGAAAAUGUACCGGGGCUAAACAUAUUACCGAAGCUGUGGAGUACACCUUUAGGUGUAUUGGUAGGAGAGCGUUCUAAGGGCGUUGAAGGCAGAUCGUGAGGACUGCUGGAGCGCUUAGAAGUGAGAAUGCCGGUAUGAGUAGCGAAAGACAGGUGAGAAUCCUGUCCACCGAAUGACUAAGGUUUCCUGGGGAAGGCUCGUCCGCCCAGGGUUAGUCGGGACCUAAGCCGAGGCCGACAGGCGUAGGCGAUGGAUAACAGGUUGAUAUUCCUGUACCCGUUGUUUUUGUUUGAGCAAUGGAGGGACGCAGGAGGCUAAGGAAUGCAGACGAUCGGAAAUGUCUGUCCAAGCAGUAAGUCUGAAGAGGAGUCAAAUGCUUCUUUUCUUAAGGACAAGCUGUGAUGGGGAGGGAAAUAAUAGUACCGAAGUUCCUGAUGUCACACUGCCGAGAAAAGCUUCUAGUGAGAAAACAGCGGCCCGUACCGCAAACCGACACAGGUAGUCGAGGAGAGAAUCCUAAGGUGAGCGAGAGAACUCUCGUUAAGGAACUCGGCAAAAUGACCCCGUAACUUCGGGAGAAGGGGUGCUGAUCAUACGAUCAGCCGCAGUGAAUAGGCCCAAGCGACUGUUUAUCAAAAACACAGGUCUCUGCAAAAUCGUAAGAUGAAGUAUAGGGGCUGACGCCUGCCCGGUGCUGGAAGGUUAAGAGGAGUGCUUAGCGCAAGCGAAGGUACGAAUUGAAGCCCCAGUAAACGGCGGCCGUAACUAUAACGGUCCUAAGGUAGCGAAAUUCCUUGUCGGGUAAGUUCCGACCCGCACGAAAGGCGUAACGAUUUGGGCACUGUCUCAACGAGAGACUCGGUGAAAUUUUAGUACCUGUGAAGAUGCAGGUUACCCGCGACAGGACGGAAAGACCCCAUGGAGCUUUACUGUAGUUUGAUAUUGAGUGUCUGUACCGCAUGUACAGGAUAGGUAGGAGCCGUAGAAAUCGGAACGCUAGUUUCGAUGGAGGCGCUGGUGGGAUACUACCCCUGCGUUAUGGCCACUCUAACCCGCACCACUAAUCGUGGUGGGAGACAGUGUCAGAUGGGCAGUUUGACUGGGGGCGGUCGCCUCCUAAAAGGUAACGGAGGCGCCCAAAGGUUCCCUCAGAAUGGUUGGAAAUCAUUCGAAGAGUGUAAAGGCAGAAGGGAGCUUGACUGCGAGACCAACAAGUCGAGCAGGGACGAAAGUCGGGCUUAGUGAUCCGGUGGUUCCGCAUGGAAGGGCCAUCGCUCAACGGAUAAAAGCUACCCUGGGGAUAACAGGCUUAUCUCCCCCAAGAGUCCACAUCGACGGGGAGGUUUGGCACCUCGAUGUCGGCUCGUCGCAUCCUGGGGCUGUAGUCGGUCCCAAGGGUUGGGCUGUUCGCCCAUUAAAGCGGCACGCGAGCUGGGUUCAGAACGUCGUGAGACAGUUCGGUCCCUAUCCGUCGCGGGCGUUGGAAAUUUGAGAGGAGCUGUCCUUAGUACGAGAGGACCGGGAUGGACUUACCGCUGGUGUACCAGUUGUUCUGCCAAGGGCAUUGCUGGGUAGCUAUGUAGGGAAGGGAUAAACGCUGAAAGCAUCUAAGUGUGAAGCCCACCUCAAGAUGAGAUUUCCCAUUUCUUUAAGAAAGUAAGAUCCCUGAGAGAUGAUCAGGUAGAUAGGUCAGGAGUGGAAGUACAGUGAUGUAUGGAGCGGACUGAU
Molecule: ribosomal RNA, 2875 nt
Filed under: Enterococcus faecium
Lineage: Bacteria; Bacillati; Bacillota; Bacilli; Lactobacillales; Enterococcaceae
Description: bacterial LSU rRNA
Rfam family: Bacterial large subunit ribosomal RNA
Source: RNAcentral